RNAcentral lists this ribosomal RNA (253 nucleotides) under uncultured bacterium. RNAcentral describes it as "partial 16S ribosomal RNA". It matches the Rfam family "Bacterial small subunit ribosomal RNA", at positions 524 to 776 of the family's 1533-position model. The record is from RNAcentral.
UACGAAGGGGGCUAGCGUUGCUCGGAUUGACUGGGCGUAAAGGGCGCGUAGGCGGUUUGCACAGUUGGGCGUGAAAUUCCUGGGCUUAACCUGGGGGCUGCGUUCAAUACGUGUAGGCUUGAGUUCGGAAGAGGGUCGUGGAAUUCCCAGUGUAGAGGUGAAAUUCGUAGAUAUUGGGAAGAACACCGGUGGCGAAGGCGGCGACCUGGUCCGAUACUGACGCUGAGGCGCGAAAGCGUGGGGAGCGAACAGG